RNAcentral lists this transfer RNA (57 nucleotides) under Parachtes teruelis. RNAcentral describes it as "tRNA-Lys". Lineage: Eukaryota; Metazoa; Arthropoda; Arachnida; Araneae; Dysderidae. The record is from RNAcentral.
UAUGAAUUAACCAAGAUUAGGUUUUAAUUUCUUAAAUUAAAUACGAGUAAUACGGUU